This 403-nucleotide ribosomal RNA is filed under the name uncultured bacterium. RNAcentral describes it as "partial 16S ribosomal RNA". It matches the Rfam family "Bacterial small subunit ribosomal RNA", at positions 30 to 526 of the family's 1533-position model. The record is from RNAcentral.
AUUGAACGCUGGCGGCAGGCCUAACACAUGCAAGUCGAGCGAGCGGCGGACGGGUGAGUAAUGUAUGGGGACUGCCCGAUAGAGGGGGAUAACUAAUGGAAACGGUGGCUAAUACCGCAUACUAUCGGAAAACCCAUCUGGGAUUAGCUAGUAGGUGGGGUAACGGCUCACCUAGGCGACGAUCCCUAGCUGGUCUGAGAGGAUGAUCAGCAACCCUGUGACGUAGCCACGGCCCAGACUCCUACGGAGUCAGCAGUGUGGAAUAUUGCACAAUGGGCGCAAUCCUGAUUCAGCCAUGCCGCGUGUAUGAAGAAGGCCUUAGGGUUGUAAAGUACUUUCAGCGGGGAGGCGUUACCCGCAGAAGAAGCACCGGCUAACUCCGUGCCAGCAGCCGCGGUAAUAC